Gallus gallus (chicken) is the source of this 2255-nucleotide long non-coding RNA. NCBI's taxonomy places the organism in Eukaryota, Metazoa, Chordata, Aves, Galliformes, Phasianidae. The record is from Ensembl.
GGAGACUGUUAAAAAUGUAAUGGGGUUAUUGUAGCACAUGGGAAUCAGUACUUGAAUGCAUGCACCAGAAAAGCAAAAGUGGGGUGACCUUGUCUGCAUUAAUUCAGGGGGCUGAGCUGAGCAUCUAGUGGAAAUAAAAAGAAAAACUAAUUCCAAGCAGGCCCCAGUGAGCAUGCUUUUAUCCAAAAAGCAAUCGGAGAGAGGAAUACGACAUACCAGAUGGAAUUGCUGAGGCAGAGGUGAAACUUAGAAACAACAAUAACGAAACACGAUCAAGUAUAAUUUUGACAGAAGGAAGAUAUUAGAAGGAAAAGGCCCCAGUGGGACAGUUUGGCUCAUCCUGAUCCCGAUAUUUCAUCUGCUCUCGGAAGACCCCAGGAGAAAGCUGUGCCACAGUACCAUAAGAUGUCGAGGCUGAGCCAGUCUGAUCACUGCAGUGCAUGCCGAUAGUAGGGGGAGGUGCUGCUGUGCCUCUCAGGUCUGUGUCUGCACCAAGCCCCUGGGAAGGGGGACAAGAGGUGCUGGAAUCUUAGUCCCACAGCAGUUUUCUGUCACGUUAUCCACCAACAUCACGGGUCCUGAUGGGAAAUUCAGUGGGAUAUGCACUGAGGAUGGUGGCAGCAGCGGGAAAUGGAAGGUUGUCCUCAAGAAGAAGAUAGAGGAAGGAGGAUGAGAUGUAGCUGUGGUUGAAAGAGAGCAAGGGAGAGAGGAUUGAACAUCCAGAGCAAGUUCAUUGGACAUGCCAGAAGAAGAGCAGAGGAGCUGCACUGGGGCCUCCAGGCUCUCGUCCUCACACUCGAAACUUCUGUCUAAACAAGGCUUGGUGGCUUUUUCAUGUUCCUGCUAACAGGAUGAGCACUCACCUCCACAGUGUUGUAGUAUUACUGGUGUACUUUUCUGCUAUCUUCACUGAUUGUAUUCUGCCUUGUUUUACUACGAUUGCUGUAGCUUUUGGAUGUAGACAAGUAUAUCAUCGUGCUUGACAUUUAACAAAACAAUGGCCCAUAGAGCUUAGAUCCUAUGGGAAUACCUUUUUCCUCACAAGGAUGGGCAAGCAGAGAAAGAUCUUGCUCACAGGGAGUGUGCAGUCUCCAUCUUUGUAGGCUUUCAGACUAGACUGAAACAGCCAUGAGCAACCUGUGCUGAUACCACAUCUGCCCUUUUUGAGCAAGUGGUAAGACUAGAGGCCUCCUGGAUUCCUUACAGCCUGAACUGUCCUACCAACUUGAUCUGCUUUUUUAAGUUUUCAUGUUAAAAAUAGACUGCUCUCUCUAAUCUGUAGGCAGAUACCAGCUAAGUUGUUGAUGGCAUUUUCUCUUGUCGUGGGGUUUCUGAAGGAUGCUGUUAUUGUGGGGAUGUAGACAGUCUGGCUUCCUUCGCACCUGCAUCUUAGUGACCAGGGCAAGUCAACUGUAAAUGUUCAUAUUUGUUAGGAGUAUUGUUUGUUAGCAGCCUUGCACUUUUUCCUUAAGCUCAGUUAGGUCAUUACUCACCGAUCAGUCACACUUCCAAAGGUGGCUGAAUACAGCAAAGCAUGUUGUUUUUUUCCCCUCUGGUGAUAAGUGCAUAUUUGCAUAGCCUUUUUUGUUUGACUUAGUGACGUUGUUUUCUUUCCUCAGAGAUGUGUACUUUCUCCUCACCCUUCCUCCUCCUCACCUUCCCUCUUCCAAAUACCUUCAAUGCCAGGAUGACAGCUCUAAGGCUGCUGUCAGUCCCUUGCAUGUUUCAGACCAAGGACUUUAAUCACAGCAUGAUGCCAUCGUGUGAGCAAAAAUGAUAUUGAUGGUGUUUGCUAAUAUACUGUUUUUUAAAAUGAAAACGUUAAAAAUAAAUAUUUUAGGGGAAUUUUGCAUAUUAAUACUCAGUGGUUUGAAUAUGUGGUAAUACUUUUUGCAUUUAGAAUGCUUAAUUUUAAAAGAUUAUUUGGAUAAAGAUCUAUAAUUAACUGAUAAACAUUAAAACAUUAACUGAUAAAGAUUUAUAAGGCUGCUGAGGAAAAUUCCAAGACUUUUCCCUCUCCAGUGCACUCUUUUAAGGAGUGAUAAAGGAGGAAACAUAGGAAUAUGGCCUUCAGUAUGGCUUAAAUAUAGCUUGCUUUAUUGCACCAUUGCUGAAUUAAAGUAAUUGAACUUGACACACAUUUAUUUAUUUAUUUAUUUAUUUAUUUGAGAAAUGCUGAUAGAGAGAGAGAAGUUGAUUUCAGCCUAAAUGUAACACUCUGUUUUCUGGGAGACUAUCUUGGGCCAAGAACUGCA